This 465-nucleotide ribosomal RNA is filed under the name Vreelandella stevensii. Its description in RNAcentral is "partial 16S ribosomal RNA". It matches the Rfam family "Bacterial small subunit ribosomal RNA", at positions 338 to 795 of the family's 1533-position model. The record is from RNAcentral. Lineage: Bacteria; Pseudomonadati; Pseudomonadota; Gammaproteobacteria; Oceanospirillales; Halomonadaceae.
CCUACGGGUGGCUGCAGUGGGGAAUAUUGGACAAUGGGGGGAACCCUGAUCCAGCCAUGCCGCGUGUGUGAAGAAGGCCCUCGGGUUGUAAAGCACUUUCAGUGAGGAAGAACGCCUGGUGGUUAAUACCCAUCAGGAAAGACAUCACUCACAGAAGAAGCACCGGCUAACUCCGUGCCAGCAGCCGCGGUAAUACGGAGGGUGCGAGCGUUAAUCGGAAUUACUGGGCGUAAAGCGCGCGUAGGUGGCUUGAUAAGCCGGUUGUGAAAGCCCCGGGCUCAACCUGGGAACGGCAUCCGGAACUGUCAAGCUAGAGUGCAGGAGAGGAAGGUAGAAUUCCCGGUGUAGCGGUGAAAUGCGUAGAGAUCGGGAGGAAUACCAGUGGCGAAGGCGGCCUUCUGGACUGACACUGACACUGAGGUGCGAAAGCGUGGGUAGCAAACAGGAUUAGAUACCCGUGUAGUA